This 488-nucleotide ribosomal RNA is filed under the name uncultured bacterium. Its description in RNAcentral is "bacterial SSU rRNA". It matches the Rfam family "Bacterial small subunit ribosomal RNA", at positions 29 to 527 of the family's 1533-position model. The record is from RNAcentral.
AGUGAACGCUGGCGGCGUGCUUAACACAUGCAAGUCGAACGAGAACGGGUUAUAGCUUGCUAUAAUUGUCAGCUAAGUGGCGCACGGGUGAGUAAUGUAUAGGUAAUAUGCCUCUUACUAAGGGAUAACAAUUGGAAACGAUUGCUAAUACCUUAUACUCCUUAUUAACUAAAGUUAGUAAGGGAAAGAUUUAUUGGUAAGAGAUUAGCCUGUAUUGUAUCAGUUAGUUGGUGGGGUAAUGGCCUACCAAGACUAUGACGCAUAACUGGUUUGAGAGGAUGAUCAGUCACACUGGAACUGAGUCACGGUCCAGACUCCUACGGGAGGCAGCAGUGGGGAAUAUUGCACAAUGGACGAAAGUCUGAUGCAGCAACGCCGCGUGGAGGAUGACACAUUUCGGUGCGUAAACUCCUUUUAUAUAAGAAGAUAAUGACGGUAUUAUAUGAAUAAGCACCGGCUAACUCCGUGCCAGCAGCCGCGGUAAAGUG